Non-coding RNA from Theobroma cacao (cacao), 778 nucleotides. The record is from RefSeq and is a predicted model, not a curated record. NCBI's taxonomy places the organism in Eukaryota, Viridiplantae, Streptophyta, Magnoliopsida, Malvales, Malvaceae.
UAAAGGCUUUGGUUGGUGGUUUAACAUGGGUUUAUGUUAUAUUCCAUCUCUUGCACACUGGACUCCAGUGCUGCUGCUGGCUGGUGUGCAGGGGGUGGAAUACAUCAUUGAAUCAUGAUAUUUGAGUUUUCUCCCAAGUUUUCCGAAGAAGGUGGAGGUUGGGUGCGUUUGCUCUAUAUCAGUUUUUCAAAAGUUCAUGUUUGAGAAGCCAUCAGGAACCUGUAAGAAAGAUCCAUAGUACUUCAGGAUUUUGUGGCAAGAAUCCUACUAAGAAGGACUAGCAAUGAGCAUUUCAGAGCUAAAAUUUUUUAGAGUAACAGGAUUGAGAAAGCUUCAAUGGAAUGCUCAAGCCACAUUGCAUUUACUGACAUGUUUAUGAUUUGUUCCUCUUAUCCAUUCUUCUCCUUUUCCCAUUGGCUGAUACUAGGAUUUGAAGGUCAACAUGGAUACUUCACACAUCCAAACUCAUAAAUUGAAAAGGUUGCAUACUGAUCUGCACCCUUUUUAGGAGAUUAUGACCAUAGAAGGCAUCGAGCGUCUCAAUAGGUGAAGGGCAUGUUUGGCUACUUUGUUUUCUUCAAAAUACUGUAAACUAUAAUAUAGAGAGCAAAUAACAAGUCUCUAACCAUUCCAGGGCAUCAUUUAUUCAGAAUUCCAUGUGUUAUCUACAAAUCCAGGUUUUUUCUUAUUAAAAUUAUAGAUUACAGCAAAUGUCUAUUUCAAUAGAAACAUUAGCUUUUAUGGAAUGUAAGAUCUAAGGAUGACAUUAUCAAUUGAA